This 460-nucleotide ribosomal RNA is filed under the name uncultured bacterium. RNAcentral describes it as "partial 16S ribosomal RNA". It matches the Rfam family "Bacterial small subunit ribosomal RNA", at positions 338 to 795 of the family's 1533-position model. The record is from RNAcentral.
CCUACGGGAUGCAGCAGUGAGGAAUAUUGGUCAAUGGCCGUAAGGCUGAACCAGCCAAGUAGCGUGAGGGAAGACUGCCCUAUGGGUUGUAAACCUCUUUUACGCGGGGAUAAAGGUGUCCACGUGUGGAUGUUUGCAGGUACCGCAUGAAUAAGGACCGGCUAAUUCCGUGCCAGCAGCCGCGGUAAUACGGAAGGUCCGGGCGUUAUCCGGAUUUAUUGGGUUUAAAGGGAGCGUAGGCCGGUCUUUAAGCGUGCCGGGAAAUUUUGUGGCUCAACCAUGAGAGUGCGGCGCGAACUGGAGACCUUGAGUGCGCGGAAGGCAGGCGGAAUUCGUGGUGUAGCGGUGAAAUGCUUAGAUAUCACGAAGAACCCCGAUUGCGAAGGCAGCCUGCCGCAGCGUUACUGACGCUGAAGCUCGAAAGCGCGGGUAUCGAACAGGAUUAGAUACCCUAGUAGUC